This is a long non-coding RNA of Quercus robur (English oak), 804 nucleotides long. RefSeq lists it as uncharacterized. The record is from RefSeq and is a predicted model, not a curated record. The transcript has 2 exons. Lineage: Eukaryota; Viridiplantae; Streptophyta; Magnoliopsida; Fagales; Fagaceae.
UUGAAGCUACAGUCAAAAUUUUUUAAACUUUUUUUUCUACCUUUUUAUUCUAUUUUUGAAUUGAAACAAAUCUAAAAAGUGUUGGAGAGAUCCUAUAUUCUAUUUACAAGUAUUGUUUGUGUUUCAUAGUCUGCAAAAGGAGAAAUUUUUUUGAACCUUUUUCUAGUCUGUCAUCUCAAAAGAACUUGUCUAUUUUCUUAUGGGUACAAUUAGAAGUCAGUUUUCAUAAGAUUAAAAAAUAAUAGCUUAUAUAUUUGCUGUUCACAGGUGGCAAAUUUGAAUUUUUCUGGCUCCUUCUUACUAUCUCUCAUCUCAUGUCAAGUUUCAUCAACCAUCACUGACAACACUGAAUUCAAGAGCUUAUAUAGACAGAAUAUCUCUGUUUCUAUUCCUUCUGUACAUGGUUGCUACUAUUGGGUUAGUUUGUUUUCUUAUAUUCAAGGGAAUUCAAGGCCAAAUACAAGCAUCAGAAUCUAUUAAAAUGAAAGAGAAAAGGGUGUUGUAGUUUUAUCUGCCACAAGUUGAAGCUGCAUCUUUUUUGAGCAUUACUCUUGCAUUGGCAUGGCAAAAGGCAGUCAGGGAAUGGGCUUUAUUUAUGGUUCAUUUCAUACGAGGGAGCUCUUUUGUAAUGUCCCUAUCUACUGGAAUUCUCCUUAUUUGCUUCCAAAAACUUGCCACUAAAGGCAUUGGAGUAUAUUUUAUUGCCUUGCAAUUGGCAAUGGAUUGUAUGCUUGUUGGGUCACAACGUGAAUUAAGUUUUGUUCUAAGAUCUUGAUGAAAGCACUUGAGCCAAGUAUUUAGUCC